AUAAAUCAUUACUCAAAAUAGAGGUGGCGCUGUUUUCGACUUUCUAUUAGCUUGAGCGAGGUUUCUGCAGCCAUUGUGGUCGUUCGUUAGGUCUGGGGGUGGGGUACAUUGAAUCUCAGUCGACCGCGUGGCGCUGAACGUGCCGCGUGUUUUUAUUCCGCAUCAACAUUGUUACCUACCUAUUAAAGUUAUUCUGCCGUUAUUAACGCCCUUAAAAUGCCUCUCACGCCAGCUGAGAAGCAAGCAAGUUAACAGAAACAGAUCGAAGUUAUUUACAGGUUAUAUAAAAUUUAAGUAACAAUUAGAAACAGUUAACAAGAGAUAGGAGACGUAUAAAAAACAAUGCAACAGAGAAAAACGAAAGAAGUCUAAAAAUAAGGACGGCAAUCCAGAAAAUCCAGUAAAUGCUAUUAAAAAUGGCCAUGAAAAAGUUAAGAAUCUGAAGGAAAAGUAUGCUAUUGAUAAAAUAUUCGACAAGAAGGCCGUUAAAAUGUCUAGGCAGGAAAUACAAAUUAUACAAGAGUGUCUUGCUGUGGAUCAAAGU
This is a long non-coding RNA of Colias croceus (clouded yellow), 544 nucleotides long. RefSeq lists it as uncharacterized. The transcript is spliced from 2 exons. Lineage: Eukaryota; Metazoa; Arthropoda; Insecta; Lepidoptera; Pieridae. The record is from RefSeq and is a predicted model, not a curated record.